RNAcentral lists this long non-coding RNA (4815 nucleotides) under Homo sapiens (human). Its description in RNAcentral is "non-protein coding LINC01767:15". The record is from RNAcentral. Lineage: Eukaryota; Metazoa; Chordata; Mammalia; Primates; Hominidae.
AGAGUGUAGACACUGACUGAUGGGACCAGGUACAAAAUCCCCUGGGACAAAACAGAACUUUCAUAACUGGCUGUAGAGUUAUUGUUUUUGCCUUUUGGAAGCUUCCACCUUGUGACGGGAAGAGCACUGUCAGCCCAACACAGAAACUCUGCCGCCUGGAGUCACGUGGAUCCAGAUGCGAAGGGACUCCAACGUCAUGCUAAGGAGUUUGGGUAGCCAUCCUGUGACCCUGGAAGAAACCAGCCCAAGGAAGGUGCUAACCUACAGAAGAAGGACAUGGCCAGGGUAAUCACAUAGACCCGGAGUUGAAGCCCUGACUGCACCACACCCGAAGCCUCCCCACCUUUCAACCUCUCGGUGAUGGUGAACCAAUAAACUCUUUUUAUUGUUCAAGCCAGUGUGAGUUAGGUUCGCUAUAAUUUGCUGCAGAAAGUCUCCUGAGUGAUUCAGAUGCCUGUUGGUGCUCCUGGAAUUGCAUCCAGAUGCCCUACCUUAGUAUUAAAGUCUCACUCAACUCUAAGAUCAAUGAGUGGGGAGGGUGAGGGCUAGAUUUUCAUUGACCCUGGUGUUGCCAGCCCCUGCUGGACAUCAAUCUGGCACAAAGCAGACAAUGUUAAUUUUUUUUUCCUUGAAGGAGUAAACCCAGGUCUCUCUCCAGUGUCUUAUCAGCCUCCCAAAGGCGGGGAAUCCCACUGGGGUCCCUGAUCACCUUCCAGAGCCACCUCUCUGCAAUCAGCUGCAUUUUGCUAGAAUCGGCCUUGCUGUCCACCUUCCCCAUCAGCGUCCUCAUGGAGACCACCAUGAGGGAGGGGCCAGCGGGUCUGAACUUGAGGCUAUGUCUAGCAGUGUGUCUGAGCUCCAGGUACCCAGGAGGGGGCCAUGGCCGAGUGAUGCCCAGGGCACAGGAUGGUGCAAGCAAGAUGUAAACAAGAUGCAAACAAGAUGGUGCAAGGAGAUGCAAACAAGAUGUUUGCAAGGAGAUGUUUGCAACAAGAUGUUUGCAAAGAGAUGUUUGCAACAAGAUGUUUGCAAGGAGAUGCAAACGAGAUGGUGCAAGGAGAGCCUCCAAAACAGCCUGGAAUUCACACAAGUAAAUGGGAGGGGCCUCAGAGCCACUGUGAUUUGGGCAGCAAUAAGUAUGACCAGCAGGGUGACCAGUGGACCAUGAGAAACAUCCACAUGUGGGUCCAAAGAACAUUGCAUUCCUUUGUUUAUCUAACCCACAUCCUCCUUCGUGUCUUAGGGCCUUUGCACUGCCCUUUCCUUGGACUGAUUACCCAGUUACUCUACCUCAUGACCAACCUCUGUCUUAAUUCUCUGCAGAGUGCUUAUCAAUGGCUGAUUGCAUUUGUUUGCUUUUGUUUCUCUGUCCAUGACAGCAAGGACCUUGAUUGUCUUAUUUAUCACUACUUCUCUCAUAUCAAAAAUCCCUCCAUAGUCCUGGCUCAGCAGCUCUUGCCUAUAAUCCCAGCACUUUGGGAGGCUGGGAAAGGAGGAUUGCUUGAGGCUAGGAGUUUGAGACCAGCAACAUAGCAAGACCCCAUUAAAAUAAAAUAAAAUAAAAAUUAGCCAGGUGAGGUGAUGUGUGUCUGUAGUCCCAGCUACUGAGUGGGGCUGGGGUGGGAAAACCACUAGAGCCUGGGAGGUUGAGGCUGCAGUAAGCCCUGAUCACAACGCUGCAUUCCAGCCUGGGUGACAAAGCGAGACCCUAUCCCCCCCACCAACAAAAAACAAACAAAAAUAAAAACUCCCCCUAUAAACACACAUUAAAUAAAUGAACAGCCCUGCCCCCUCCCACUCAGAGGCCCACCCCCUUCAAUUGCGAACUUGGUCCCAUCAGUCAGGUACCAUUCAGAUGUGAUCUCCACACAGGGGCCUCCACCUCCCUCAUCCCGAGUAAUCCCUCCUCCCCCAACUCACUUAUUUCCUUCAUGCCCUUUAUGGCAAUAUAAAAUUAUCUCAUGUAUUUGUGUUUACUUGUUCGUUAUCUGCUUUCUCCUGUGAAUGUAAACUAUAUCUUUCCUUGUCCCAGGGGAGAUCACUUCCAGACUUUAAGUAGGUGCUCAAUAACCUUUUGUGGCCGGAAUAAACAGCAAGGGAGAAAAUGAAUCUCCAGGGCUCUGGAAACAGUGGGCAUAAGAAGAUAAAGAAAGAAUCCUAGUUGAUUUCAGAGUAAUUCUGUGAGGUAAACAGGGUGGUUUUUUCUACCAUGGCUGUUGAGAGAUGAGGAAGGCAAAGUUUACAAUGUUGUGACCUCAUCAAAAUAGCUUGUCUGGUGAAGUGCACAUUUGAACUUGAGUCUGAUUCCUUUUCCAGUUCCUUUUCUUCUGAAUCAUGCAGCUUUCCUGUUCAAACUCAUCUGCAUAGAUACUAAAAGUAUCAGCAAUCUCCUCUCUGCAAAUCGCUCCAAAUUCUCGCAAGGUGGAGCCCGGCUGUUUGAGAAGCCAUCACUGAAUCUCCUGAUGUGUUGACCCUCACAGUGCUGCAGUUAUAUCGCUUUCAUGAGGCACCAGCAACCAAUAGCAGCUUGGCAUUGUAAAAGUUUCUCCGUGCCUUCAUGCUACAGCCAGGCCUCUGGUUUCUCUCUUUCUCUCAAUUAUUACCUUAACCAUGCCCUGGAGACCUAAGGAGCCGGUUUAUUUUGACUGGGAGAUUGUUAAACUGCAGGAGGCAAACCAGAGACAGUGCCAGGCUGUGAUUUCCAUUGCUCCACAUGGCCAGGGGGUGCUGAGAAUAGCCAAGGCCGCUUCCUGCUGGAGGAGGAAAUGGCAGUUUCCUCAACUCCAGGAAACCUUACUUCCUCUCUGGUGCCUAGCUCCGUGUUAACCAAUUAGACAGCUUCUUCCCACCCCAGACCCCAGAGACCUGGCCCAAGCCUGGAGAAGACAUCCUGUUUCCCCUGAGGAAGUGGCCCAGAUUGAAGGAGCCACUAGGGUAUUUGAGGGGGGAGUGAGUAGGAAAUAGGGCAGGAAGGGGCUGACAAGUAGUAAUAACAGUGGUAUCCAGUGUCCGCUAAGAACCGCGCCCCCACUGCCACCCCCACUGCUUUGUCCUGACCCUUGGAGAUCUCAAUAAACUUGGCAAACUCUUACUGGCCUUUGGAGUCCAAAGUCUUCCCAUGAUCCCAUCUCAUCCUCAAGCUGGCUCCUCCAUCCACCAUCUCUCUUCUGUAUACCAUCCCAGUCCAAAAAACAAUGCCGGCCCUUUCUUGGUUUCUACAGAAAACAGGCUCACACCACACAUUCCAGGAGUUUAGAAACGUUGCUGAGCACUAAAUGGGCACCAGGCACCAUCACAUUGCCUGGCAAAUAUCCUCAUGGAGACAGCUCUGGAGCCAGACUUCCUGGGUUCGAAUCCUGCUUCAUAUCCUCUGUCCCCAGCUAGCUAUGCCUUGUCAGGUGCGUCAUUUAACUCCUCUGGGUCUCAGUUUUUCCUCUAUUUCCCUCUAUCUAUGGGAAUAGUGGUAACUAGCCCUUCAGGGUUAUAGGAAUAUGCAAUGAGACAAAGCCCUGGGCUUGUAGCUCAGUACUCAGUGAUGGCCAUUAUUGUUUUACUCUGCUUCCUCCUCCGUUUCAGAAGCAGGGAAAAAAAACCCACAAAACCCUUUCCUUGUCUCUUGAAGAAUAAUAGUACCCUUUCAGGGGAAGGGUACUAAUGAAAUAAUUUAUUAUCUCAUUUUUUAAAAUAAACUUCAUAUCUUAGAAUAGUUUUAGACUCACAGGAAAAAUUGCAGAGGUAACAGAGAAUUCCCAGAUACUUCACACCCAGUUUCCCCAAAUCUUAACAUCGUGUGUGAAUGCGGUACAUUAGUUAAAAUUAAUGAACCAAUAUUAAUAUACUAUAAUUAACUAAAGCCCAUGGUUCCUCCUUAGGUUUUACAUAAUGUCUUUCUUUCUCUCUUUCUUUUCUUUUCUUUUCUUUUCUUUUCUCUUCUCUUCUCUUUUCCUUUCUUUUUCUUUCUUUCUCUCUCUCUCCUUCCUUCCUUCCUUCCUUUUUGAGACGAAGUCUCCCUCUGUCACACAGGCUGGAGUGCAGUGGUACAAUCUCAGCUUACCGCAACCUCCGCCUCCCAGGUUCAAGCAAUUCUCCUGCCUUAGCCUCUCGAGUAGCUGGGAUUACACCGCCACCAUGCCCAGCUAAUUUUGUGUAUUUCUACUAGAGAUGGGGUUUCACCAUGUUGGUCAGGCUGGUCUCAAACUCCUGACCUCAGGUGAUCCACCGCCUCGGACUUCCAAAGUGCUGGGAUUAUAGGAGUGAUUUCUCUUCCCAGAUCCCACCCAAGAUACCACAUUAUAUUUAGUCAUUAAGUCUCUUCAGGAUCCUCUGGCCUGUGACAGCUCCUUGUUUUCAUGACCUUGACAGUUUUGUGGAGUAUUGGCCAGGUGUUAUGAAGAGUGUCUCUCAAUUAGGUUUUGUCUCAUGUUUUUCUUUUGACUAGAUAGACUGGGUCUGGGGCUGAAAUGAAGAACACCACAGAGGUGACAUUUUGGUACAUACUAUAGACAUGACUUAUCACUGCUUAUGUUGACCUGAUUACCUGGCUUAGGUCAUGUUUGUCAGGUUUCUCCACUAACGUUACUUUUUUUUUCCUCCGUCUAUACCGUAUUCUUUGGAAGGAGGUCACUAUGCACAACACACAUUUAAGGAUUAGGGAGUUAUACUCCAUCUCCCACAGGGUAGAAUAUCUAUGUAAAUGAUUUGAAAUUCUGCUGCACAAAAAAAUUGUAUACUCUCCCCUAUUAGUCUCUUUAAUUAUCUAUUUAUAUCAGUAUGGACUCAUAGGUAUUUAUUUUAUACUUUGUAUUAUAAUGCUAC